RNAcentral lists this ribosomal RNA (497 nucleotides) under uncultured bacterium. RNAcentral's name for it is "partial 16S ribosomal RNA". It matches the Rfam family "Bacterial small subunit ribosomal RNA", at positions 28 to 507 of the family's 1533-position model. The record is from RNAcentral.
GACGAACGCUGGCGGCGUGCCUAAUACAUGCAAGUAGAACGCUGAAGAGAGGAGCUUGCUCUUCUUGGAUGAGUUGCGAACGGGUGAGUAACGCGUAGGUAACCUGCCUUGUAGCGGGGGAUAACUAUUGGAAACGAUAGCUAAUACCGCAUAACAAUGGAUGACACAUGUCAUUUAUUUGAAAGGGGCAAUUGCUCCACUACAAGAUGGACCUGCGUUGUAUUAGCUAGUAGGUGAGGUAACGGCUCACCUAGGCGACGAUACAUAGCCGACCUGAGAGGGGGAGCGGCCACCCUGGGACGGGGACACGCCCCAGACCCCCCCGGGGGGAAGCAGGAGGGAUUCUUCGGAAAGGGGGGCACCCCUGACCGGGCAACGCCGGGUGGGGAAAGAGGUGUUUCGGAUCGAAAAUCUCGGUUGAAAGUCAAGAACGGGGGUGGGAGUGAAAAUUUUCCACUGUGACGGUAGCUAACAAGAAAGGGACGGCUAACUACGUC